Molecule: ribosomal RNA, 312 nt
Filed under: Triticum aestivum (bread wheat)
Lineage: Eukaryota; Viridiplantae; Streptophyta; Magnoliopsida; Poales; Poaceae
Description: partial small subunit ribosomal RNA
Source: RNAcentral
AUGGUCUCAGAGGCGCAUAACAACCGUGCGGAGUACGACAAGUCUUUGCAUGAAGCGCGCCGGGAGAUUGACUUGAAGGUGCAAAAGGAUCACGAUGAGGUAGAUAAGAAACUGAAAAAAGAACGUUCAUAUGUGGACAGGAUGAUAAAGGAGGAGCGUGAGGAGUUUUCCCGUAAGAUGGCGAAGAUGCGUCUUGAGAUUGAAGAAAAGUAUAAGCGGGACUGUGAGUACAUGGAAAAAAAGUUUGUCCUUGGCUACAAGGAAAUGCAUCAAACGUUGCAGAAGGACCGGAAGCUUGUGGACAGUAUUUAA